Long non-coding RNA from Amaranthus tricolor (Joseph's coat), 1195 nucleotides. RefSeq lists it as uncharacterized. Lineage: Eukaryota; Viridiplantae; Streptophyta; Magnoliopsida; Caryophyllales; Amaranthaceae. The transcript is spliced from 3 exons. The record is from RefSeq and is a predicted model, not a curated record.
UGAUUUAAAAAAGAAGUGAUGUUCAACUCCACCAAUUGAACUCCAUCAAACUGCAAUUAUCACCACGAGUUACAAACUGCAAUUAUCACCACUAGUCACAAACUGCAAACUGCAAACUGCCACCAACCAUACCUCCGUAAUUUAUCUCUCCGGUGAACUCCACUAAAACCCCCACUAACCAAGCCUUUACCAACCAUGUCUUCACCAAUCCCUUUAUUUUCCCACCCAUGAAAACCCUAUAACUCCAACUACAAAUCCACCAACCCAAGAAUUGAAAUUAUGUUGUUUUCGAAUACCUCAGUUAGGGUUUUGUUUUUCCUCAAUUCAAGUGCUUUAGUUUGAGAAUGAAGGAGGUGUUGAUCUUGUGAGCUGCUGGGAACUGGUAUCUUGGGCAUAGGUUGCUGCUGCAACUAGUGUGAAGAUGGUUUGGUAGCAACUGUAGCAGGCUGUUAGUCUAUGAGGCCUAUGAAACUGUUGAGCCUGCUGAUCGCUGCUUUUUGGGUGCUGAUCUAAUGUUGUUGUACUACUGCUGUCGUACUAAUUCUACUACGGAUAUUUGUUUUGCUGAUCAAGAUAUCCAGUUUCGUGACAUAGGUACUGAUCUGAUGAUCUCCAUCUGUCCACACUACUGCAUAGAGCUUUGAAGAUAUUUGAUGGUGGUGAGUCAAAUCAUGGGUUUAUGGGUCAACGAAGACUGAUGGAUUUGGGGCAUUUUCAAGGCAAAAAAUAUGUCAUAUUUUUUGGAACGAUAAUAGACGUUGCUAAAAAUAGUAAUAACAAAUAUCAUAUAAUUUUUUUCCUGCCAAAAUGCAAAAGCUUUGGCAACCACUUUGUUUCGUUGCAAAAAAGGUUGUAGAAAUUGCAACAAUAUUGCUUUUGCAAUAAUAAAAGUCAUUGGGAAAAAUUGCAUCAUUUUUUUAACUACCUAAGUCGUUGCUAAAAUCUUUAGCUAGAAGUCAUUGCAAAAAACAUUUUUAACAACGAAAUAUGGUUUUUAGCAACAAUUUUUUUUGUUGCUAAAAAUGAAUUUUCUUAGUAAUAUAUACAUGGUGAAAACAAUAAAUUAAAACCCUAGGAUGAAACUGAGCAUGGUAAAAGAUGAUGAUAAUAAUACUUGCAAGGAAAAACUAUAAAUAAGAUAUGAAAUACACAAUUAAAGAAUUAAGAGAGACAAAUUAUGAGGAACAAUACUAUU